This is a long non-coding RNA of Parus major (Great Tit), 2321 nucleotides long. RefSeq lists it as uncharacterized. NCBI's taxonomy places the organism in Eukaryota, Metazoa, Chordata, Aves, Passeriformes, Paridae. The record is from RefSeq and is a predicted model, not a curated record. The transcript has 3 exons.
GCACUGUUGAGUCAGCCUUGUGUCCUUGUGAUGGUCUAAGGGAAGAGGUGAAAGAAAGUACUCAUCAUGGAGUGACAUUUUUUACUAAACCAAGAGGUAUAGCUGAAAAAAAGAUGUUGGCCGCGGCCAGGGCCAAGUCACGGGGCAGGCAGGAUGUGCUGCUUCUGCGGAGGUACAGGCAUGCGGAUAAAUGACACGGAUUUCUGCAGCUUCGCCGGGCUCUGGCAGGUGUUACUCAGAUAAAGCCCAAGCAGAGAUUAUGCAGCAGAUUUGACCACACAGAGGCUUCACAAAUGCUUGAGGUCCAGAUGCAAGUUGCACCUGAUGCAAAUGAAGGAAAGCUCUGAUGAACAGCAGAGACAGAGAGCAAACAUAUUUUUUAAACAUAUACACCUUGAAGUAAUAAUGUGAGAAGUAUCUUCUACUAAUCCAGGGAGAGAUUGUGUGUGAAUUUGCCACAGGAAAUGCAGUGAGGAGUACCCUUUCUUCCAGGUUAAUGCCAGCCUAAUGGAUGGUUGUUUGGUUUUGAUAUUUUUUCACCUGUUUAUGUACCUUGGCAUGUGCUCUGAGCCUGGAGCUGGGCUGCAUUUUCCACCUGCUAGAAGGGGUGCAUAUCCAUGUGCACAGCAAGUCAGUUCAGGGAAAUUUCAUUAAUGUUUGCUUUAGGAAACAACUUUAUUCUUCUCAGCAAUUUUUAUACAGAUCUGAGGGCCUUUUGCCAGCCCUCAUUUCCAGAUGGCUUAAAAGCCAUGUUCUGUGCUAAAUAACUGUAUUUAAUUUCUCUGUGUAAGUAUGAGACAAGAGGUCAAAGAAAGAAAUGACAUCAGUGUGAGCAACCUGCUUGGUCAGGGGGAGCUCAGAGACAUGGGCAGGGAAAGUAUCCUCUGGGAAAUGAAGAAAUGAGCAUGGGGAUGCACAUACACACCUUCAUCCAUGCUUACAAUCCCCCUAGACCUUUCAGCAGCCUGGCAAACUGUUUUUAUGUAUCUUCUACAGCCCAGAAAGCGUCCAGGUAGUACUUGGAGAUACCCAGAACUGCAUAUGGCAUUGAAACAAAGCUUGAGCAUGAUGACAUUUUUCUGGGCUACAGGACUCGGUUGGGUUUAAGUGUACCUGUGAGUGCAUCACACCAGUGAUACAUCACAUGUUCAAGCAACCCAGCAUUACUUUUGUUCCAAAGGACCCCUAAAAGUGAUGGAGAAGUGAGGAGAUGAGCUAGACACAGAGAAUGGCACUCCUAAUGCCUGCUGUAACACACUGGCCUCUUGGCCAUGCUAACAUUUUCAAUAUGCUUACAAGUUUCCCAUAUAUAGUGUAUUUCCCAGCAUUUGAGCCUUGCUGAGGCAUCACUGCCUUCCCUUGGAGCAAUACAAGGCAUUAGUGAAGUUUCUGUGCUGAACUGUGGGAAUAGAGGAGCAAGAAGCUCUGACCCCUUGGCAAGAGCAUGCUUUGGAAACACCAUCAUCAAAAAAUGAACACAUCAGCCCAGAAGGCCCACAGACAGCUGAUCCUCUCCAGCCUUAUCAGAGACAGAGCUGCUGUGGAUGCUGAGGCAGCAGCCACCGGACAUUUUUGAGAUGUUUAUUCUAUCCUGUGUUGAUAUGAAGUCAAUACGAUAACUAAAAAUAAAGAUUAAGAAAAAAAAAUACACAGCAGCUAUUUGUUCCUGAAUUGUUAUGUUUACCCAUACCAGCCCAGAUUUCCAUUUAGGCAGGCCUGUAGUCCCAGAUGUUCAGUCAUUUUCAGCAACACGGUCAUAUCCCAGAAGAUUUAGCCUGCUGGAGCAACUAUAUUAAACAUGCCUGUAAUUUUCCACUGUAACUGGAAGAUUGCAUUCCUCAGAGGCGAGCAAUCGCUGACUGGACAGGCCCCGUGCACAUGCAGGCAGCACAGCCCUGAGUCCUCUGCAGCCUCUCACCAGGGCAGGAGGGCACAGCACUUCUGUAGCCCAACAAGGCUAGGUCUGGGAUGAGGAAGCUCCCAUCAGCAGCACUCCCUAGGAGAGGUGGGCAUGCAGCUGGAGAUCCCUGGCCAGUUGCUGCUGCAGGGAUGGAUGUGGCUGGGCCUGCAGGUGCCUUCUCUGCUGACCCUCCUGGCACUCAGAGCUGUAGGCUUUUUGCAUCACCUCUGUUGAGGUGAUCCAAAGAGAAAAAUGGUCUUUAACAGAAUAAAAACAGAUGUUUCACCCUAACCACCUCCUGCUUCCUAAUGAAUGGGCUGGGCAGAGGCUCCCAUCACAAGGUCCUGCACAGCUGGGGAGUCUCACCCUGCUUCCAGGCACUGGUGUAAGGCCACUUCUCUGAGGAAGGAUGGGGCAUGUC